GAUCAUGGCUCAGGACGAACGCUGGCGGUGUGCCUAAUACAUGCAAGUAGAACGCUGAAGGAGGAGCUUGCUUCUCUGGAUGAGUUGCGAACGGGUGAGUAACGCGUAGGUAACCUGCCUGGUAGCGGGGGAUAACUAUUGGAAACGAUAGCUAAUACCGCAUAAGAACAGUUGUUGCAUGACAGCUGUUUAAAAGGUGCAAUUGCAUCACUACCAGAUGGACCUGCGUUG
RNAcentral lists this ribosomal RNA (231 nucleotides) under uncultured bacterium. Its description in RNAcentral is "partial 16S ribosomal RNA". It matches the Rfam family "Bacterial small subunit ribosomal RNA", at positions 15 to 238 of the family's 1533-position model. The record is from RNAcentral.